UACGAACCGUCCAAACGUUAUUCGGAUUCAUUGGGCUUAAAGGGUACGUAGGCGGCGCCAUUAGUCGGGUGUGAAAUCCCUCGGCUCAACCGAGGAACUGCGCCCGAUACUGUGGUGCUUGAGGGAGACAGAGGUAAGCGGAACUGAUGGUGGAGCGGUGAAAUGCGUUGAUAUCAUCAGGAACACCGGUGGCGAAAGCGGCUUACUGGGUCUCUUCUGACGCUGAGGCGCGAAAGCUAGGGGAGCAAACAGG
This 253-nucleotide ribosomal RNA is filed under the name uncultured bacterium. RNAcentral's name for it is "partial 16S ribosomal RNA". It matches the Rfam family "Bacterial small subunit ribosomal RNA", at positions 524 to 776 of the family's 1533-position model. The record is from RNAcentral.